UAUUCUGCCCUACAGGGAAGGAUGAGAAGCUUCGACUAAGGUUCGACUAAGGUUCGACUCGAGCGAAGCGAGAGAACGUUGCCGCUGGCAACGGCCCGAAGGGCGAGGCGCUUUAGCGCCGAGUAAUCCUUCCCCCACCACCA
Molecule: small RNA, 143 nt
Filed under: Klebsiella pneumoniae
Lineage: Bacteria; Pseudomonadati; Pseudomonadota; Gammaproteobacteria; Enterobacterales; Enterobacteriaceae
Description: RtT sRNA
Rfam family: RtT RNA
About the family: This family represents a bacterial cis-regulatory element known as RtT RNA.
Source: RNAcentral